AUCCAGACUCCUACGGGAGGCAGCAGUGGGGGAUAUUGCACAAUGGGGGGAACCCUGAUGCAGCGACGCCGCGUGGGUGAAGGAGUAUUUCGGUAUGUAAAGCCCUAUCGGCAGGGAAGAAGCAAGACGGUACCUGACUAAGAAGCCCCGACUAACUACGUGCCAGCAGCCGCGGUAAUACGUAGGGGGCGAGCGUUAUCCGGAUUCACUGGGUGUAAAGGGAGCGUAGACGGCCAUGCAAGCCAGGGGUGAAAGCCUGGGGCCCAACCCCGGGACUGCCCUUGGAACUGCGUGGCUGGAGUGCAGGAGGGGCAGGCGGAAUUCCUGGUGUAGCGGUGAAAUGCGUAGAUAUUAGGAGGAACACCAGUGGCGAAGGCGGCCUGCUGGACUGCAACUGACGUUGAGGCUCGAAGGCGUGGGGAGCAAACAGGAUUAGAUACCCCCGUA
RNAcentral lists this ribosomal RNA (447 nucleotides) under uncultured bacterium. RNAcentral's name for it is "bacterial SSU rRNA". It matches the Rfam family "Bacterial small subunit ribosomal RNA", at positions 329 to 792 of the family's 1533-position model. The record is from RNAcentral.